This is a long non-coding RNA of Nilaparvata lugens (brown planthopper), 165 nucleotides long. RefSeq lists it as uncharacterized. NCBI's taxonomy places the organism in Eukaryota, Metazoa, Arthropoda, Insecta, Hemiptera, Delphacidae. The transcript is spliced from 2 exons. The record is from RefSeq and is a predicted model, not a curated record.
AACUACAAUUUAAGAUACAUUCUCCCACCAAGUGACAGCUAUUUUUCCUAGGCAGCUAUAAAUUCUUUACCUUAUAAGGUCGUGAACCAGACUUAUAUUCUAGGAAAAAUGUUGAUCUUCCCACAACUUCUACACACACACCUAUAGAGUCGACACUACACAACG